AGUGAACGCUGGCGGUAGGCCUAACACAUGCAAGUCGAACGGCAGCACAGUAAGAACUUGCUCUUACGGGUGGCGAGUGGCGGACGGGUGAGGAAUACAUCGGAAUCUACUUUUUCGUGGGGGAUAACGUAGGGAAACUUACGCUAAUACCGCAUACGACCUACGGGUGAAAGCAGGGGAUCUUCGGACCUUGCGCGAUUGAAUGAGCCGAUGUCGGAUUAGCUAGUUGGCGGGGUAAAGGCCCACCAAGGCGACGAUCCGUAGCUGGUCUGAGAGGAUGAUCAGCCACACUGGAACUGAGACACGGUCCAGACUCCUACGGGAGGCAGCAGUGGGGAAUAUUGGACAAUGGGCGCAAGCCUGAUCCAGCCAUGCCGCGUGGGUGAAGAAGGCCUUCGGGUUGUAAAGCCCUUUUGUUGGGGAAGAAAAGCAGCAGGUGAAUACCCCGCUGUUCUGACGGUACCCAAAGAAUAAGCACCGGCUAACUUCGUG
Molecule: ribosomal RNA, 492 nt
Filed under: uncultured bacterium
Lineage: Bacteria
Description: partial 16S ribosomal RNA
Rfam family: Bacterial small subunit ribosomal RNA
Source: RNAcentral